RNAcentral lists this non-coding RNA (20 nucleotides) under Rattus norvegicus (Norway rat). Lineage: Eukaryota; Metazoa; Chordata; Mammalia; Rodentia; Muridae. The record is from RNAcentral.
AUUUCUGAUUUGACGAGGGU